AGUAACACGUGGACAACCUACCCUUGGGUCCGGGAUAAUCCUGGGAAACUGGGCAUAAUACCGGAUAGGCCACAGUGGCUGGAAUGCCCUGUGGCUUAAAGCUCCGGCGCCCAAGGAUGGGUCUGCGGCCUAUCAGGGUAGUAGUGGGUGCAAUGUACCUACUAGCCUACGACGGGUACGGGUUGUGAGAGCAAGAGCCCGGAGAUGGAUUCUGAGACACGAAUCCAGGCCCUACGGGGUGCAGCAGGCGCGAAAACUUUACAAUGCGGGCAACCGUGAUAAGGGGACCUCGAGUGCCAGCAUAUAAUGUUGGCUGUCCAGAUGCCUAAAAAGCAUCUGUUAGCAAGGGCCGGGCAAGACCGGUGCCAGCCGCCGCGGUAACACCGGCGGCCCGAGUGGUAACCGCUAUUAUUGGGUCUAAAGGGUCUGUAGCCGGCCAGAUAAGUCCCUUGGGAAAUCUGGCAGCUCAACUGUCAGGCUGCCAGGGGAUACUGUCUGGCUUGGGACCGGGAGAGGUGAGAGGUACCUCAGGGGUAGGGGUGAAAUCUUGUGAUCCUUGGGGGACCACCAGUGGCGAAGGCGUCUCACCAGAACGGGUCCGACGGUAAGGGACGAAAGCUAGGGGCACGAACCGGAUUAGAUACCCGGGUAGUCC
Molecule: ribosomal RNA, 655 nt
Filed under: uncultured archaeon
Lineage: Archaea
Description: bacterial SSU rRNA
Rfam family: Archaeal small subunit ribosomal RNA
Source: RNAcentral